Molecule: transfer RNA, 69 nt
Filed under: Bos taurus (domestic cattle)
Lineage: Eukaryota; Metazoa; Chordata; Mammalia; Artiodactyla; Bovidae
Also listed under: 1 other name
Rfam family: tRNA
About the family: Transfer RNA (tRNA) molecules are approximately 80 nucleotides in length. Their secondary structure includes four short double-helical elements and three loops (D, anti-codon, and T loops).
Source: Rfam by way of RNAcentral
CCUGUUGGCUCAGAGGGUAAAGCGCCUUCCUACAAUGUAGGAGACCCAGGUUGAAUCCCUGGGGCAGGA